AUCCGACUGUCUAAUUAAAACAAAGCAUUGGGAUGGCCCUAACGGGUGUUGACGCAAUGUGAUUUCUGCCCAGUGCUCUGGACGUCAACGUGAAGAAAUUCAAAAAAGCUCUGGUCAACGGCGGGAGUAACUAAGACUCUCUUUAGAGGUCAGAAGAAAGAGAGUCCAAUGGUAAAGAAUGGGUCGAGAU
Molecule: unclassified non-coding RNA, 190 nt
Filed under: Cimex lectularius (bed bug)
Lineage: Eukaryota; Metazoa; Arthropoda; Insecta; Hemiptera; Cimicidae
Description: Eukaryotic large subunit ribosomal RNA
Rfam family: Eukaryotic large subunit ribosomal RNA
Source: Rfam by way of RNAcentral